UCCACCACCACCACCCGGGCCGGACCCCGCUGCCACCGCCCAGGCCGGACCACUCCGCCGGCUUUUUCAGCAUUGGACUCCCACCGGAUUUGAAAGUUAUUCUCAUCGAUAAAACCCCCUUUUUCCCAUUCAAGAUUCCAAAGCCACCGAGAGAUCUGAGAAACACCACCGCUGAACCCCGCUGACGACGAGCGGCGCUGCUCCUCCGCCCCAGUUUGGAAAGUUAUUGUUUUCUAUCUCUUCUGCCACCGCCACAGUGUUCAAGUGUAAGUUUGUUUGAUUUGGAAGUUGAAGGAAAGUUUGUGGAUCAUGUAUGUUGUGUGUGUUGCUGGGUGAUCACUCGUAGACAGUGGAUGGGCAGUGACUGGGUGCUUUCAGAUUGAAUGGGAAAGGGAGCUCGAGAAAGGGGGGUUUGGAUCGUGUGUGUUUUGCAUAAUUUCAUUUGGUGUAAUGUGCUGAUGUGUCUUUUUUCUAUUAGAGGGCGUAAAGGGCCUGGUUUAUGCCAAGUCCACACAGAAUCCGACAUUCCGACUAGAAAGUCACCGACCCAUUUUACAACGACGACGACGACGACAACCUCAUCAGGAAGUUAAUUCGAACGCUUAUUCAAAUCCAAACCCUCGACUGAGUGAAAGUCGGCAAGAAAGAAACAAAGAAAUCGAAAGAAAAUUCCCAAAUUCGAACAGAAAAUCUUCCAAGUGGCCAAUCGUCAAAAACCUAGCUUGCAUAGGAAUUUCAUUGAUAUUGAGCAAUGGCGGUGGCUUCAACUUCGGGACCCAAGUCCCUUAAAGAAUAUCUAAAACGAUAUGAGAGCAAUGCUGAAGAAGAGCAGAAAAAGAAGAAGAAGAGGAAAAAGAUGGUUGAAAGUAAAACCGAUGCAAGGGGCGUUUUAGUUGUGGAUGAAGAUCCAGUUUGGCAUAAACCAGUAAAUCUUGAAGAGGAAAACGAUGAUUCAGCUGAUGAAGAGAAGCCACAAGUUGAUGAGGACAUUGAGGUUAAGCGGAUGAGGAGGCUCGAACAACUGAGGGCCAGGCGUCCAUAUAAUGCCAUAUCAGAUGAUGGAAGUGGUUGGGUUCCACUCUCUCCUAAAUGUGGGAAAUCUGGUGACCCAUAUUCUGAUAUGUCACCACCUCGUAAACAAAGGGUUCGGAAUGACACCCCUUCACCAGAACCUGAACUGAAGCCUUCAGAUUCUGGCAGAGAUAACACCAAUUUGUCACCUCCAUGGCAGCGGCGGAAACACCACCAUACUCCAUCACCUGAACGCGAUACGAAGCGUGCAUAUUCCAAUGACCUGAACUCUGAUAUGUCUCCACCUCGCAAAUGGAGGGUUCGGAAUGACACACCUUCAUCAGAACGUGGAGUGAGGCCUUUAGAAUCUGACAAAGUAGAUACUGAUUUGUCACCUCCACGGCAGCAGCAGAAACGUCACCAUACACCAUCACCAUCACCUGACAUUUCUCCUCCUCGAAGGGGUCGUCGUGAUUCUCCAUAUCAAGAUGACUUCAGUGCCUCCCUGGGGUCAGACCUUUCACCCCCAAGGAAAAGCCGGAAGGAUGUUGGGAGAAAUGGGCCGCCUUAUCUUUCCCCUCCACGUAGGCAUCGAACUGAAACCAAUGCUUCAGGUACAUCUUUGCCUUCAGACCUUUCUCCACCAAGGAAAAGCCGAAAGGAAGCUGCAGUGAAAGAGCAACAAAAAACAGGUCUGGUUUCUGGUCAAGACAUCAGUGAAGAGAUUGCUAGAACUAAGAAGAAUGAUUUGUUGAGGUUUAACAAGAUGGAUCCUUCUAUAAGUGGUCGAGGAGCAGAACCUGUAUAUCGUGAUAGGAUAAAAGGAGAACGUAUAUCAAAGGAAGAAUUCCUCAAAUCAAGGCAGAAAGUAAAAGUAGAAGAGAAACCCAAGGAGGUAAAGUUGGAAUGGGGCAAGGGCUUGGCUCAAAAGCGGGAAGCUGAAGAUAGGCUGCAGGAAUUGGAACUUGAGAAGGAUAAACCAUUUGCACGAACCAGAGAUGAUCCUGAACUCGACAACAUGAUGAAAGAGAGAUUAAGAUGGGGUGAUCCCAUGGCGCAUUUGGUGAAGAAAAAGCAUCCUGAACUGAAUCUCCCGAACCUAGGGGAUAGCGAGAAAAUGAAAGAAUCAGGGUUUAUUAUUCCUCAGGACAUUCCCAAUCACAGCUGGUUAAAAAGAGGAUUGGAUGCUGCACCAAAUCGAUAUGGUAUAAGACCAGGGAGACAUUGGGACGGAGUUGACCGUAGUACUGGAUUUGAGAAGGGAUUGUUUAAAAGGACGAAUGAGAAACGAGCUACAGAAACAGAAGCAUAUCUUUGGUCUGUAUCUGAUAUGUGACUCGAAGGUAAUAGUAGACUUCCAACUUGCAGAGAUGUGGUUCCAUUCCCGCUAAUCUUUGUUGCCUGAACUGUGGAUUAGACCAGAAUUUUGUCAAUCACGUAGGUGUGAAGGCUUUGAGUGCUGGGUUAUUCUUGUGGCAGAGUUUUUGCAAAGCAAAUAUAGAUUAUAUGGCUUGUCAUUUGUGUACUUUUUUCCCGGUUAGUCUUUUCCUCCAAUGGCAUGAAACCAUAAUGAUCUUUUAGAAUGUCACAUGGCCAAAUUGAAAGAUGUAGACUUUUUGGACAAUUAACUGCUGCUCAAAAGCCGAUUUGAAUGCCGGUCAGUUAGUAUUCGGAUCGCUAUUCUUUAUGAUUUGUAUCAAUAGUGACUGAACGACGGGAUUAAAAGCCAGGAUGCUAUAUUGAUUACUGUGGAGCUUGGCAUAUACAAUGAGAAGGUGUGGAUCCUUAAGCCAUGGCUGGAUAUACUCUUUGAGGUAACAUCUGCGCCGACGUUGGUUUGCCAACGCCAGACAUGGAAACCGGCAGGGACCCGAUGACGCCCUGUUUCAGGAUCUCCUAUGCAGUUGUUAUCGGCAUUGGCCCUCAGUCAUACCAGAUACUACCAUGAACGACCAAAAUAAGUGAAGAGAAUGGGGGAUUAGCGACUUUUGGUUUAUUUCAUCAUUAUUAGCUUUGCCCGGACGCUGGUAUAAUUGAAAUUAUUAACGUAAUUAUUUUUUAGGAUAGAUUAUGAUAGGGUGCCUUCAAUCUUA
This is an RNA transcript of Alnus glutinosa, 3104 nucleotides long. RefSeq lists it as uncharacterized. The record is from RefSeq and is a predicted model, not a curated record. NCBI's taxonomy places the organism in Eukaryota, Viridiplantae, Streptophyta, Magnoliopsida, Fagales, Betulaceae. The transcript has 11 exons.